This 752-nucleotide ribosomal RNA is filed under the name uncultured bacterium. Its description in RNAcentral is "bacterial SSU rRNA". It matches the Rfam family "Bacterial small subunit ribosomal RNA", at positions 66 to 786 of the family's 1533-position model. The record is from RNAcentral.
ACGAGAGGACAUGGGAAGCUUGCUUCCUAUGAAAUCGAGUGGCAAACGGGUGAGUAACGCGUAAACAACCUGCCCUUCGGAUGGGGAUAACAGCCGGAAACGGCUGCUAAUACCGAAUACGAUCUUUUCGUCGCAUGACGGAAAGAAGAAAGGAUGGCCUCUAUACAAAGCUAUCGCCGAAGGAGGGGUUUGCGUCUGAUUAGCUGGUUGGAGGGGUAACGGCCCAACAAGGCGAUGAUCAGUAGCCGGUCUGAGAGGAUGAACGGCCACAUUGGGACUGAGACACGGCCCAGACUCCUACGGGAGGCAGCAGUGGGGAAUCUUCCGCAAUGGACGAAAGUCUGACGGAGCAACGCCGCGUGAGUGAAGAAGGUCUUCGGAUUGUAAAGCUCUGUUAUACGGGACGAAAAAGACGGAUGCCAACAGUAUCCGUCCGUGACGGUACCGUAAGAGAAAGCCACGGCUAACUACGUGCCAGCAGCCGCGGUAAUACGUAGGUGGCAAGCGUUGUCCGGAAUUAUUGGGCGUAAAGGGCGCGCAGGCGGUUCGGUAAGUCUGUCUUAAAAAUGCGGGGCUUAACCCCGUGAGGGGACGGAAACUGUCGAACUUGAGUGUCGGAGAGGAAAGCGGAAUUCCUAGUGUAGCGGUGAAAUGCGUAGAUAUUAGGAGGAACACCGGUGGCGAAAGCGGCUUUCUGGACGACAACUGACGCUGAGGCGCGAAAGCGUGGGGAGCAAACAGGAUUAGAUACC